Molecule: long non-coding RNA, 958 nt
Organism: Bufo bufo (common toad)
Lineage: Eukaryota; Metazoa; Chordata; Amphibia; Anura; Bufonidae
Exons: 3
Source: RefSeq, a predicted model, not a curated record
AAUGAGUGAAGGCUGCUCUUCCCCACUGUACGAUUGGUGGGAGGGGCUCCCCCAUAUAUUGGUCCCUUAGGAGGAUUCCGAGGAGCAGUGACAAUCUUUACUAACUAUUUUUCUGAAAAGUUGUAAACCUCUUUAAGCCGUGCAGGUCAGGCAGUGUUGUUGAGACUUUUUGAACAUAGCUAGUAAAUACCUGGUUUACGUCACAUAUUUGUGUUAAAUUACUUUCCCGAGCGCUUCAGCUUUGAUUAAUUUUUUUAAAAUCAGCACUCCGUACAAAAAAGGUUGCCGGCCCCUGAUCUAGCGUAUAUGCUUGUAGUCACUUCCUUUCUACUUUUUAAUAAGGUAGAGACUGUCGAAGAGACCUUGUGCUUCUUCUCGCAGAUGCAGGAGAAAUUCGGGCUGCCCCGCAACUUUUUCUUUAGAUACCUGCAACUGAGACAGGCGUUAAAGGCCCAGUUUGGGAAAAGAGGGCGAGGCAUCUCAAAAUACUCUUUAAUAGGCAUACUAAAAGGUCGCAGGGUCCGAGGGGCAUCAUCUCUGUGCUUUAUACACAUCUGCUCAGUAAUCGCAUGACGAACCCUCUCGCUAUUGAGAGUAAAUGGAAAAUGUCAAUACCGUCUGACGACUGGAACGAGGCUUUAAUGGCUCCGCUGAAGGUCUCUCCAUCAAUCAACAAUAGAUUGAUUCAGCUGUUUAUAUUGCACAGAAGUUACCUUACGCCCACUAGGUUACACUAAAUGGGUAAGCUGUCACACAAUAGAUGCCAUAGAUGCCUGAGGGAUAAUGCUGACUUUUGGCAUCUGAUGUGGGAUUGUACUUACUUGAGAGGCUACUGGAGGGAGGUGGUAGAAGUAUUUUCAACUAUGGUUCCCUCUGCAGUACCGCUGUGUCCUAACAUUUGUGUACUGGGUAUAUUAGAUGAGCAGGGUAUUACCAUAGAGCAGUGCUGGCAAACCCU